This 372-nucleotide ribosomal RNA is filed under the name uncultured bacterium. RNAcentral's name for it is "bacterial SSU rRNA". It matches the Rfam family "Bacterial small subunit ribosomal RNA", at positions 28 to 408 of the family's 1533-position model. The record is from RNAcentral.
GAUGAACGCUGGCGGAGUGCCUAACACAUGCAAGUCGAGCGGCAGCGCGAGUAGUUUACUACUUGGCGGCGAGCGGCGGACGGCUGAGUAACGCGUGGGAACAUGCCCCAAAGUGAGGAAUAACUGCCCGAAAGGGUAGCUAAUGCCGCAUACGAUCUUCGGAUUAAAGGAUUUAUCCGCUUUGGGAGUGGCCUGCGUACGAUUAGAUAGUUGGUGAGGUAAUGGCUCACCAAGUCUACGAUCGUUAACUGGUUUGAGAGGAUGAUCAGUCAGACUGGAACUGAGACACGGUCCAGGACUCCUACGGGAGGCAGCAGUGAGGAAUCUUCCACAAUGGACGGAAAGUCUGAUGGAGCAACUCCGCGUGCAGGA